This is a long non-coding RNA of Bactrocera neohumeralis, 248 nucleotides long. RefSeq lists it as uncharacterized. The transcript is spliced from 2 exons. NCBI's taxonomy places the organism in Eukaryota, Metazoa, Arthropoda, Insecta, Diptera, Tephritidae. The record is from RefSeq and is a predicted model, not a curated record.
UUGUAUGGCAGCUACAUAUCGCUCAUUUGCUGCAAGACCGGCAUAAAUCAAAAAACGUGAUUUUUGAGUUAAUGAUGCAGAAUUGUUCGUGACAGAGUGAAAAAUUCAUAUGAAUACCUCUUAUAUGCUCCGCUUGAGAAGAGAAUAUGAUUCCUGUUUUCCGUGUAAGGUUGGAGUCAGUUGAAAACUUUUAACGCGUUUUCUGGCAAAUCGAUUUUUUUGACUUAUGCCGGUCUUGCAGCAAAUGA